UGUAGCUCAGUUGGAUAGAGCGUGAGUUUCCGAAGCUCAAGGCCGUGGGUUCAAAUCCCGCCA
This 63-nucleotide transfer RNA is filed under the name bovine gut metagenome. It matches the Rfam family "tRNA", at positions 6 to 65 of the family's 71-position model. From Rfam's summary of the family: Transfer RNA (tRNA) molecules are approximately 80 nucleotides in length. Their secondary structure includes four short double-helical elements and three loops (D, anti-codon, and T loops). The record is from RNAcentral.